Molecule: non-coding RNA, 75 nt
Organism: Phrynosoma platyrhinos (Desert horned lizard)
Lineage: Eukaryota; Metazoa; Chordata; Lepidosauria; Squamata; Phrynosomatidae
Source: the annotation of a GenBank genome assembly
ACCAGUGUGGCAUAGUGGUUUGAGUGUUAGACUAUGACUCUGAAACCUGGGUUCAAUUCCUGGUCAGCCAUGAAA